RNAcentral lists this ribosomal RNA (747 nucleotides) under uncultured bacterium. Its description in RNAcentral is "bacterial SSU rRNA". It matches the Rfam family "Bacterial small subunit ribosomal RNA", at positions 721 to 1482 of the family's 1533-position model. The record is from RNAcentral.
GCAGCUUGCCAGACUGUAACUGACGCUGAGGCACGAAAGCGUGGGGAGCGAACAGGAUUAGAUACCCUGGUAGUCCACGCCGUAAACGAUGAUUACUGGUUGUAGGCGAUAUAUUGUCUGUGACUGAGCGAAAGUAUUAAGUAAUCCACCUGGGGAGUACGUCGGCAACGAUGAAACUCAAAGGAAUUGACGGGGGCCCGCACAAGCGGAGGAACAUGUGGUUUAAUUCGAUGAUACGCGAGGAACCUUACCUGGACUUAAAUGUAGAUUGCAUAGAGUGGAGACAUUCUUUUCUUCGGACUAUCUACAAGGUGCUGCAUGGUUGUCGUCAGCUCGUGCCGUGAGGUGUCGGGUUAAGUCCCAUAACGAGCGCAACCCCUAUCGUUAGUUGCUAGCAGGUAAUGCUGAGAACUCUAGCGAGACUGCCACCGUAAGGUGUGAGGAAGGUGGGGAUGACGUCAAAUCAGCACGGCCCUUACGUCCAGGGCUACACACGUGUUACAAUGGCAGGUACAAAGGGCAGCUACAUAGCGAUAUGAUGCUAAUCUCAAAAACCUGUCUCAGUUCGGAUAGGAGUCUGCAACUCGACUCCUUGAAGCUGGAUUCGCUAGUAAUCGUAUAUCAGCAAUGAUACGGUGAAUACGUUCCCGGGCCUUGUACACACCGCCCGUCAAGCCAUGGAAGUUAGGGGUACCUAAAGUACGUAACCGUAAGGAGCGUCCUAGGGUAAAACUGGUAACUGGGGCU